Molecule: ribosomal RNA, 494 nt
Filed under: uncultured bacterium
Lineage: Bacteria
Description: partial 16S ribosomal RNA
Rfam family: Bacterial small subunit ribosomal RNA
Source: RNAcentral
GGCGAACGCUGGCGGCGUGCUUAACACAUGCAAGUCGAACGGUGAAGCGCCUUCCUUUUUGGUGGGUGUGGAUGAGUGGCGAACGGGUGAGUAACACGUGAGUAACCUGCCCCCUUCUUCUGGAUAACCGCAUGAAAGUGUGGCUAAUACGGGAUAUUCUGGGUCUGUCGCAUGAUGGGUCUGGGAAAGAUAUUGUUUCGGUGGGGGAUGGGCUCGCGGCCUAUCAGCUUGUUGGUGGGGUGAUGGCCUACCAAGGCGGUGACGGGUAGCCGGCCUGAGAGGGUGGACGGUCACACUGGGACUGAGACACGGCCCAGACUCCUACGGGAGGCAGCAGUGGGGAAUAUUGCACAAUGGGCGCAAGCCUGAUGCAGCGACGCCGCGUGAGGGAUGGAGGCCUUCGGGUUGCGAACCUCUUUCGCCAGUGAAGCAGGCCUGCCUCGUUUGUGGGUGGGUUGACGGUAGCUGGAUAAGAAGCGCCGGCUAACUACGUG